RNAcentral lists this ribosomal RNA (1343 nucleotides) under uncultured bacterium. RNAcentral's name for it is "16S ribosomal RNA". It matches the Rfam family "Bacterial small subunit ribosomal RNA", at positions 28 to 1378 of the family's 1533-position model. The record is from RNAcentral.
GACGAACGCUGGCGGCGUGCUUAACACAUGCAAGUCGAACGGAAAGGCCCUGCUUUUGUGGGGUGCUCGAGUGGCGAACGGGUGAGUAACACGUGAGUAACCUGCCCUUGACUUUGGGAUAACUUCAGGAAACUGGGGCUAAUACCGGAUAGGAGCUCCUGCUGCAUGGUGGGGGUUGGAAAGUUUCGGCGGUUGGGGAUGGACUCGCGGCUUAUCAGCUUGUUGGUGGGGUAGUGGCUUACCAAGGCUUUGACGGGUAGCCGGCCUGAGAGGGUGACCGGCCACAUUGGGACUGAGAUACGGCCCAGGCUCCUACGGGAGGCAGCAGUGGGGAAUAUUGCACAAUGGGCGGAAGCCUGAUGCAGCAACGCCGCGUGCGGGAUGACGGCCUUCGGGUUGUAAACCGCUUUCGCCUGUGACGAAGCGUGAGUGACGGUAAUGGGUAAAGAAGCACCGGCUAACUACGUGCCAGCAGCCGCGGUGAUACGUAGGGUGCGAGCGUUGUCCGGAUUUAUUGGGCGUAAAGGGCUCGUAGGUGGUUGAUCGCGUCGGAAGUGUAAUCUUGGGGCUUAACCCUGAGCGUGCUUUCGAUACGGGUUGACUUGAGGAAGGUAGGGGAGAAUGGAAUUCCUGGUGGAGCGGUGGAAUGCGCAGAUAUCAGGAGGAACACCAGUGGCGAAGGCGGUUCUCUGGGCCUUUCCUGACGCUGAGGAGCGAAAGCGUGGGGAGCGAACAGGCUUAGAUACCCUGGUAGUCCACGCUGUAAACGGUGGGUACUAGGUGUGGGGUCCAUUCCACGGGUUCCGUGCCGUAGCUAACGCUUUAAGUACCCCGCCUGGGGAGUACGGCCGCAAGGCUAAAACUCAAAGGAAUUGACGGGGCCCCGCACAAGCGGCGGAGCAUGCGGAUUAAUUCGAUGCAACGCGUAGAACCUUACCUGGGUUUGACAUGGAUCGGGAGUGCUCAGAGAUGGGUGUGCCUCUUUUGGGGUCGGUUCACAGGUGGUGCAUGGCUGUCGUCAGCUCGUGUCGUGAGAUGUUGGGUUAAGUCCCGCAACGAGCGCAACCCUUGUUCACUGUUGCCAGCACGUUAUGGUGGGGACUCAGUGGAGACCGCCGGGGUCAACUCGGAGGAAGGUGGGGAUGACGUCAAGUCACCAUGCCCCUUAUGUCCAGGGCUUCACGCAUGCUACAAUGGCUGGUACAGAGAGUGGCGAGCCUGUGAGGGUGAGCGAAUCUCGGAAAGCCGGUCUCAGUUCGGAUUGGGGUCUGCAACUCGACCCCAUGAAGUCGGAGUCGCUAGUAAUCGCAGAUCAGCAACGCUGCGGUGAAUACGUUCCCGGG